RNAcentral lists this ribosomal RNA (446 nucleotides) under uncultured bacterium. Its description in RNAcentral is "partial 16S ribosomal RNA". It matches the Rfam family "Bacterial small subunit ribosomal RNA", at positions 338 to 795 of the family's 1533-position model. The record is from RNAcentral.
CCUACGGGUGGCAGCAGUCGAGAAUCAUUCACAAUGGGGGAAACCCUGAUGGUGCGACGCCGCGUGGGGGAAUGAAGGUCUUCGGAUUGUAAACCCCUGUCAUGUGGGAGCAAAUUAAAAAGAUAGUACCACAAGAGGAAGAGACGGCUAACUCUGUGCCAGCAGCCGCGGUAAUACAGAGGUCUCAAGCGUUGUUCGGAAUCACUGGGCGUAAAGCGUGCGUAGGCUGUUUCGUAAGUCGUGUGUGAAAGACGCGGGCUCAACCCGCGGACGGCACAUGAUACUGCGAGACUAGAGUAAGGGAGGGGUAACCGGAAGUCUCGGUGUAGCAGUGAAAUGCGUAGAUAUCGAGAGGAACACUCGUGGCGAAGGCGGGUUCCUGGACAUUAACUGACGCUGAGGCACGAAGGCCAGGGGAGCGAAAGGGAUUAGAUACCCUGGUAGUC